GACGAACGCUGGCGGCGUGCUUAACACAUGCAAGUCGAACGAAGAGCGAUGGAAGCUUGCUUCUAUCAAUCUUAGUGGCGAACGGGUGAGUAACGCGUAAUCAACCUGCCCUUCAGAGGGGGACAACAGUUGGAAACGACUGCUAAUACCGCAUACGAUCUAACCUCGGCAUCGAGGAUGGAUGAAAGGUGGCCUCUAUUUAUAAGCUAUCACUGCAGGAGGGGAUUGCGUCUGAUUAGCUAGUUGGAGGGGUAACGGCCCACCAAGGUGAUGAUCAGUAGCCGGUCUGAGAGGAUGAACGGCCACAUUGGGACUGAGACACGGCCCAGACUCCUACGGGAGGCAGCAGUGGGGAAUCUUCCGCAAUGGACGAAAGUCUGACGGAGCAACGCCGCGUGAGUGAUGACGGCCUUCGGGUUGUAAAGCUCUGUUAAUCGGGACGAAAGGCCUUCUUGCGAAUAGUUAGAAGGAUUGACGGUACCGGAAUAGAAAGCCACGGCUAACUACGUG
This 510-nucleotide ribosomal RNA is filed under the name uncultured bacterium. Its description in RNAcentral is "partial 16S ribosomal RNA". It matches the Rfam family "Bacterial small subunit ribosomal RNA", at positions 28 to 507 of the family's 1533-position model. The record is from RNAcentral.